Molecule: transfer-messenger RNA, 326 nt
Filed under: Zavarzinia compransoris
Lineage: Bacteria; Pseudomonadati; Pseudomonadota; Alphaproteobacteria; Rhodospirillales; Zavarziniaceae
Description: Alphaproteobacteria transfer-messenger RNA
Rfam family: Alphaproteobacteria transfer-messenger RNA
About the family: Bacterial tmRNA, also known as 10Sa RNA or SsrA, is named for its dual tRNA and mRNA-like properties. Its role is to liberate the mRNA from a stalled ribosome.
Source: Rfam by way of RNAcentral
AGCCUUCAAAUCCCGCGGGCGAUCGCCUAUAUCUAGCGGUGUCGGGCAACCGACUAUGGCGAUAAACGAAGUUCGGAAUAGACGUUACGGACCCGGGGGCGGUACCCGGCGCCUCCACCAUGUGCCGAUGGCCGAUCGCGGUCGUCGGCAGAUGAUGGGGGCGAAACAGGAUCGACGUGCGUAGUAAAGGGAUGCUCUUUCGCCCGGCAUGAUACCGCCGUUAUCGGGUCAAUCCUACAAGUGCCAACGACAACGAAAUGGCGCUCGCUGCCUAAUUUUUAGGUAAGCGCGGUUCGGGGGGCACCGGGCAACAGAAGCCCCCCACC